GACGAACGCUGGCGGCGUGCUUAACACAUGCAAGUCGAACGGAAAGGCCCUGCUUUUGUUGGGUGCUCGAGUGGCGAACGGGUGAGUAACACGUGAGUAACCUGCCCUUGACUUUGGGAUAACUUCAGGAAACUGGGGCUAAUACCGGCUAGGAGCUCCUGCUGCAUGGUGGGGGUUGGAAAGUUUCGGCGGUUGGGGAUGGACUCGCGGCUUAUCAGCUUGUUGGUGGGGUAGUGGCUUACCAAGGCUUUGACGGGUAGCCGGCAUGAGAGGGUGACCGGCCACAUGGGGACUGAGAGACGGCGCAGAGUGCUACGGGAGGCAGCAGUGGGGAAUAUUGCACAAUGGGCGGAAGCGUGAUGCAGCAACGCCGCGUGCGGGAUGAAGGCCUGCGGGUUGUGAACCGCUUUGGCCUGUGACGAAGCGUCAGUGACGGUAAUGGGUAAAGAAGCACCGCCUAACUACGUG
Molecule: ribosomal RNA, 468 nt
Filed under: uncultured bacterium
Lineage: Bacteria
Description: partial 16S ribosomal RNA
Rfam family: Bacterial small subunit ribosomal RNA
Source: RNAcentral